CAGCGGCUCCUUGCCCCUGAACCGCUGAUCCACAGGCUGGUGAAGGUCACAUGGAGCUUUACUGUAUCUUGUCUCUCGGAGCGACAUUCUGAGCCACAGGGUCUCUUUAAAAUUCCACCCCAAUGCCCUUGGAGCCUCUGGCUGGAGUUCUAAGAUAGAUAGCAAGGGUGGGUUCACUUCUUUUCUUCCUGAUAGCACCAGAGGCCUAAAGUCUGUCAUGUCCAGAAGUCAACGUGGAACAUGGGCUAUUAGCCAGAACCUGGAGUAGAAUGAAAUAUCAAACCAAAUUCUUAGGAAGUUAAUUUUUUUUUUUCUUUUAAUGCUGCUGAAGUCUGAAUCCAGGGCCUGCUGCAGGCUAACUUCUGUAUCGUUGAGCCACACCUCAGGCAGCUUACUUUUAAGUAAACUGCUGACAUUUUAAAAAGCCAAUGCAAGUCUUACAGCUGUGGUUGAGCUGAGAAAGAAGGGCCCCUUUGGUGAUCCACCUGUGUCAGCACCUUCAGAUAAUAGGGUGUUCUCACUGAGCCAUAAAUUUGGGAUUCAGAGAUCCUUCACUCUGCUUCAACUUGGGGAACAUCUCUUCAAUUGUCCGUCUUCCUGGAUUGGUGCUGAAGCCUUCUUCAUUGGUCUCUGCCUAUGUCAGCCCACUACUCAUGUCAUGUACUGUCCCCGGGUCUGCUGUGGUUGGACCUUGAAUGUCUUCAGAGGCAGUCUGUUGGAGGUGUGGCCCCAGCCCACAGUACUAUUGGGAAAUGGGGAAACAUUUGGAGGUGGGCCUAGAGGGAGAUUUUAGGUCACCGGGGGUGGGUCCUUGGAGAGAAUGGGGACCCAAACCCUCCUCCUCUGCGUCCCAGACAGCAUGAGAGGAGCAGCUCUGCGUGCAUACCCACCAUGACAUGCUUCAUCACCAGAGGCUCAGAAGCAGCAGAGCCCAGGCCAUGGACUGAAGUCUCUGAUACCACGGGAACAUGUGAUUUAACUUGAUGUGCAUCAGGUAUUUUGUCUCGGUGAUGGACAGAUGGCUAACAGAAGGUCUGACGUGUCCUGCAGCAGUCAGUGAAUCCAUUCCCCCCGCUCUGGCUUUUGUCCAGGACCUCAGGAUCAAGACGGAGCUGCUCAGCUUGGCACCUGAUGUCCUUCACCCUCCACACGCAUGGCCGGCCUGGAGUGGUGUGCAGCACCUCUUCACCAUGCUCCUGGUUACCCUGCCCACCCCUUACCCCUCCACAGAGUCCACAGCUGGCACUUGCUAGACACACCCUGGCUUUCCUGCAGCCGUCUCCCCAGGUCCUCACCACCUCUUCCACAAGCCUUUGUGUGCCUUCCCCUUGCCUUUGUGCUGGUCAAGAGCCUUUCCCUCAGACAACUGGCACCUGUUUGUAGCCCAGCAUGAGGCCCGUCCUGAAGAGUGUCUUGUGCCCCUGAGUAAGAUACCAAACGACUUCAUUUUUCAUGCGUGCCAUGGGAUUUUCUCUGCUGGAGAGCCAUGUGCCAUUCGUGGGGCACUGGCUGCCCCAGGAGCACCCCCAGCCUGGCGAGACACGGCAGAAUCUGUCCUGGUGAAGGGCCCAGCCACAACUUGGGUUUGCCCAACUUCCCAAACUAUUUUUAAAGUGUUUUGGUUCAAUAAAGCUCUAAACAAGUUUU
Molecule: long non-coding RNA, 1647 nt
Organism: Marmota flaviventris (yellow-bellied marmot)
Lineage: Eukaryota; Metazoa; Chordata; Mammalia; Rodentia; Sciuridae
Source: RefSeq, a predicted model, not a curated record